This is a long non-coding RNA of Salvia miltiorrhiza (redroot sage), 1623 nucleotides long. RefSeq lists it as uncharacterized. The record is from RefSeq and is a predicted model, not a curated record. The transcript is spliced from 4 exons. NCBI's taxonomy places the organism in Eukaryota, Viridiplantae, Streptophyta, Magnoliopsida, Lamiales, Lamiaceae.
CACAUGUUCUAUCACAACAAGUCAACAACAGUUUUCUCUCACCCACGGUUCUCUCCCCAUAGCAAUUUGAUAUCUCUCUCAGACGGUUCGAUCACAAUACGAUUAUUUCUCAAAAUCAAUUUAAUUUCUCCUACUAUUCUCCACCCAUAUAUGUAAAUGUUUAAUGGAAGAAGAAGCACAGAUACAGAGCAUGAGACCAGAUCUAAGAGCGACAAUAUGGAAGACACAUAUGGGGAUGAUCAAGAUGCCACAUUGCCGAGGAAGAAGAGAUCUAUCGGCUUCCAGCAAUAAAAUGAGAGGAAAGUUCGAACUCGCAUUAAGGAUUGUAAAGUUGAUGACAAAAGAUGGAGAAAUUUUGAGGCGUGGAGUAUCUUCAAGAAAUUGAAAGAGGAACAAAAUAGAAAUGGAAUGAAAAAAAAGUGGUGAAAGUUUAUUUAUCUUGAACAAUAAGUUUAGAUUUUAUGGAGACUGCAUCCUCUGAAUGUUUGUAAAAUGAUGGAUAUCUAUAAUGAUUUUCAGUUGUUUGUCACUUGGUAUAAUUUCGAAAGGAUUUUGGUAGUUUGAGCCGAACUUCUGUUUUUUACGUACUUAACCCCAACGAGGUAGGCUCACUACCUGAUCUGGGAAAUAGUCCAAUAGCCAGGAUGUUGUCUUAGGUUUAUUGACUAAUAUAUAUAAUCGAGAACUAAUUGUUCGACUUGACCAAUUUUAUAAUUUCUGUAGAUUUAACACAUGAACACGCUGAUGUUGUUCUUAGUUUUGAUGAUAUACGUGUUGUGCAAUUUUUUUUAGUCCAACAAAUGACAUUAACCUGACUCCCAUCUAUCUUACUCAAGAUUUAAUGGAAAGGUAUAUUGCAUUUUGAAAGAGUUACCUAUACUAACAGUGAUAGAAAUUGUGAUACUUUUCUCUGCCAUAACUUGAUCAUCAAUCUUAAUAUUGACGUGUUGAUUCUAACUAAAAUGAGUUAGAUCCGAGCUCUUCCACCAAGGCACCAAGGCAUAGGUGCUAGCAUGGUUGGAGAGGACCAUAGUCGAGAUGUUUAGAUGUGGAGAUUACAUCAUGGCAUCCAAGGCUAUAUCGAGUACACAAAGAACAUCCUCUUGCAUUUUUUUGAGUUAAAAUGUUUUAUUUAUUUAUUUAUAGUAUUUAUGUAUGGAUUGUGAUAUACUAUGUAGGUAUAUAUUUGUAGGAUAGAAAGAGUUUAAGUUGUUGGGCAGCAAAGCAACUGAAGUUAUUGCUCAAUAUCAUGAGGUUGAAAAAUCUGAUGUAAGUGCCCCUGAUAUUGAAAAUAGUUUGAUUGGUCAAGUUAUUCUCUUCAAGGUUCAACAUAUAAAUGAGAGUGAGUUUAGAAAGGAUCGUCCCUACACUGUGAAUAAGAUUAAUAACAAAAUAUUUCACUCACAUUGUUCUCUUGCUUUAAUUCCAUUAUACUAUAUAGGGUGAGGCGAACAAUUAAGAUGUUAAUAUCUUGAUUUGAUAUGUGUUAUGAGAGGGAUAUAUAGGCUUAUCACUUUUUUACAGUUUUGGUAGUUCCUCAAGUUUGUACUUUUCUUACAGCUUUGGUUAUACUCUUAUUCUUAUAUAGUUUUAUCCAACAGAACUGCUUUGAUUGUACCAUAA